Molecule: ribosomal RNA, 433 nt
Filed under: uncultured bacterium
Lineage: Bacteria
Description: partial 16S ribosomal RNA
Rfam family: Bacterial small subunit ribosomal RNA
Source: RNAcentral
AACGAACGCUGGCGGCAUGCCUAACACAUGCAAGUCGAACGAGACCUUCGGGUCUAGUGGCGCACGGGUGCGUAACGCGUGGGAACCUGCCCUUAGGUUCGGAAUAACUCCCCGAAAGGGGUGCUAAUACCGGAUAAUGUCUUCGGACCAAAGAUUUAUCGCCUUUGGAUGGGCCCGCGUUGGAUUAGCUAGUUGGUAGGGUAAAAGCCUACCAAGGCGACGAUCCAUAGCUGGUCUGGGAGGAUGAUCAGCCACACUGGGACUGAGACACGGCCCAGACUCCUACGGGAGGCAGCAGUGGGGAAUAUUGGACAAUGGGCGAAAGCCUGAUCCAGCAAUGCCGCGUGAGUGAUGAAGGUCUUAGGGUUGUAAAGCUCUUUUACCCGGGAUGAUAAUGACAGUACCGGGAGAAUAAGCUCCGGCUAACUCCGUG